GAAACGCGAUAGUUAAUGUGAAUUGCAGAAUUCAGUGAAUCAUCGAGUCUUUGAACGCACAUUGCGCCUUUUGGUAUUCCGAGAGGCACGCCUGUUCGAGCGUCAGUGAAAACCCUUCCGGGCUUGCUUUGCAGCGGGCCGCGGGACCCUGGCGAGGGGAUGUCCGACCGCCGCGCCUCCGGGUGCGGGCAGGUCUUCCCCCGCUUAAACUCGGAGAAAGCUAGCGGGCUCACCGGCCACGACCGCGAAGACUAGUAGAAAACACCUGUCAUCCGUGUCCCGCCGGCGCCCUGCCUUUAACACCGACGGCGCCGCCUUUUUUUGGCACGCCAUCCUGACCCUUGACCUCGGAUCAGACGAGGAUACCCGCUGAACUUAA
Molecule: unclassified non-coding RNA, 379 nt
Filed under: uncultured Orbiliales
Lineage: Eukaryota; Fungi; Ascomycota; Orbiliomycetes; Orbiliales
Description: sequence contains ITS1
Rfam family: 5.8S ribosomal RNA (bases 1-105)
Source: RNAcentral